RNAcentral lists this long non-coding RNA (802 nucleotides) under Citrus sinensis (sweet orange). Its description in RNAcentral is "long non-coding RNA (CSIN_LNC004406)". The record is from RNAcentral. Lineage: Eukaryota; Viridiplantae; Streptophyta; Magnoliopsida; Sapindales; Rutaceae.
GAGGAUGAUGAUAGAUAAUAAUUAUGAGAGGGACACCUCCACGAUCAAAUGAUUUAAUUGAUUGGUUCUGUAAAUGCAAUCCAUGGAAGCACAAAACGACACCAAAAAUGCCUCGUCUUGCUCACUGAAAAUUUGAAAUUGAUUUGCUGGAAAUUUGCGUGCCCACCUUUUGUAUUGGUCGGUCUACUUUGUCCUUCGACGUUGAGAUCUGGUGCCACAAACCAACCUUCUCUGAGAUUGGAUGAGUAUUCCCUUCUGGAAACAGCGGUCAAAGAUAGAAAGAAUAGACAAGGCAGCCGUGUGUGGUGUGCUUCGCCAGCCAUUGAUGCAGCGGGUUGCCGGCGUUCGAUGACAGCGAAAUGCACUAAGCAAGGCGAGGCACGGCAGCUGGUGUUCGACGACAGCAACGCGUGCUCAGCUCAGGCGAGGCAUCCAGCGUUCGAUGACAGCUAUUGCGAAGAGGACGGCGUUCAACGGUUAGGGAUUUGGGAUUGUUUUUCAGUUCAGUCGCUUGUGAGUGGUGGGGAGCAGGGGAGGCGUGAAUAAUUUAGGGUUACUCGAUUUGUUGUUUUUUUUUUCAAUUUUAAUUUAUAUAUUUUUUAAUACAAAUUUAUUAAUUUAAUAAUAUAAUUAAAAAUUAACCUGGAUCUAAAUAUUCAAUUUUCUGAAUACACUUGUAUUUGAAUCCAUACGGAUCAUGAUUCUUAAACUCCGGAUCCGUAUUUUUUAAUGUGCGGAUUCAGAUUUUUUCAAAUCCGAAUCUUCUAGAUUUUUGCAGAUCCGGGCCGGACCUAGAUUCUUU